RNAcentral lists this ribosomal RNA (416 nucleotides) under uncultured bacterium. RNAcentral's name for it is "bacterial SSU rRNA". It matches the Rfam family "Bacterial small subunit ribosomal RNA", at positions 355 to 786 of the family's 1533-position model. The record is from RNAcentral.
UCGGGAAUAUUGCGCAAUGGAGGAAACUCUGACACAGUGACGCCGCGUAUAGGAAGAAGGUUUUCGGAUUGUAAACUAUUGUCGUUAGGGAAGAGAAAGGACAGUACCUAAGGAGGAAGCUCCGGCUAACUACGUGCCAGCAGCCGCGGUAAUACGUAGGGAGCGAGCGUUAUCCGGAAUUAUUGGGUGUAAAGGGUGCGUAGACGGGAGAACAAGUUAGUUGUGAAAUACCUCGGCUCAACUGAGGAACUGCAACUAAAACUGUACUUCUUGAGUGCAGGAGAGGUAAGUGGAAUUCCUAGUGUAGCGGUGAAAUGCGUAGAUAUUAGGAGGAACACCAGUGGCGAAGGCGACUUACUGGACUGUAACUGACGUUGAGGCACGAAAGUGUGGGGGAGCAAACAGGAUUAGAUACC